GACGAACGCUGGCGGCGUGCUUAACACAUGCAAGUCGAGCGGUAAGGCCCUUUCGGGGUACGACGAGCGGCGAACGGGUGAGUAACACGUGGGUGACCUGCCCUCAGCUCUGGGAUAAGCCUGGGAAACUGGGUCUAAUACCGGAUAUGACUCCAUGACACAUGUUGUGGGGUGGAAAGCCUUGUGCGGCUGAGGAUGGGCCCGCGGCCUAUCAGCUUGUUGGUGGGGUGAUGGCCUACCAAGGCGACGACGGGUAGCCGGCCUGAGAGGGCGACCGGCCACACUGGGACUGAGACACGGCCCAGACUCCUACGGGAGGCAGCAGUGGGGAAUCUUGCGCAAUGGGCGAAAGCCUGACGCAGCGACGCCGCGUGAGGGAUGACGGCCU
This 388-nucleotide ribosomal RNA is filed under the name uncultured bacterium. RNAcentral's name for it is "bacterial SSU rRNA". It matches the Rfam family "Bacterial small subunit ribosomal RNA", at positions 28 to 417 of the family's 1533-position model. The record is from RNAcentral.